AGAUAUAUACCUCUGCAACAAAUCAGCUGACUCACUUCUCUCGGAGAGUGUUCUGAAUUCCAGCGGCAAACAAUUUCUAUAGACAUAGUUGAAAGGACUGAAUCCAUAUGACACGCAAGAUGUUCCUAUUGAAAGCGCUUUUUGUCGUAGCCAUAGUUGUCUUCAAUCAAUACAAUUCUGAUGCUGUCCUGCGAAAUGAUGAUGAUCUCACUGAUGUGAAAACAUUUACGCUCCGAUCAGAACGAUAUGGCUACGUUCAUCAUUAUGGUAUUUACGGCAGCCUGGAUCUCCUGAAUUUCUCAUUAACUGCCACCCCUGCUCACUUUCGUGUCACGAAUAUAAACGUCAUUCAGGAAGUUAAAACCCAAAAAUGCUUGCAUAGACUGACAAAUGGAAACCUGCAAAUCGUUUUAAACACAACCUGCGACGGGGAUUUUGUUGACAGAUGGAGAUAUUUCCCUACUGCGGAACAGUUACAAGAUUCAACAGCUGGUGAAAAAUGCCUCAGCCCGUGGAACUACCGCGAGCGGAAACCAGAUGAUCUUAAUGUUACGACGGGUUUAUCAGAAUGUGAUACGUGGAAUCAAAUUAUCAUAGAACUAGUUCCUCCGUCGCAAUCCAAAGAAGAAUCAGUAUACAACUAACUGCCCAUGGUUAUUCAAGAUCACCACAGGAUUAGACACAUCAGCAGCAUAUUGGGACUAGUACGUGCAAUGAUUUGGGUAUCUAUAAUUGGCUAUCAAGGAUAAUUAAUUCUGUAGUUUUUGGAUAUUGUAAUGUGCGCAAUGUAAAACAUCAACUAAAUAAAUAA
Long non-coding RNA from Dendronephthya gigantea, 811 nucleotides. RefSeq lists it as uncharacterized. NCBI's taxonomy places the organism in Eukaryota, Metazoa, Cnidaria, Anthozoa, Malacalcyonacea, Nephtheidae. The transcript has 4 exons. The record is from RefSeq and is a predicted model, not a curated record.